ACGCUGAGGAGGAGUUUAUGCAAAACUCCACUUGUACUCGUCUACACAAAGGACGACAGACAACAGUGGAGACGCAGCGUAACACGAUGGACUACAGCACAGGACUGAGACUCCUGCUUCUGACUGUCUGCUGGGCAGGUGUUGACAGUCAGAUGCUGACAGAGUCUGAACCAGCGCUCAAAAGACCUGGAGAAUCACACAGACUGACCUGUACGACCUCUGGGCUGUCAUUUAGUAGCUAUUAUAUGGCCUGGAUCAGACAGGCUCCUGGAAAAGGCCUGGAGUGGAUCGCUAGCAUGCAUCCAAGCAGCAGCAGCAACAUCUACUACUCUGAGUCAGUUAAAGGCCGAUUCAUCAUCUCCAGAGACAACGGCAGAGAGCAGGUGUUUCUGCAGAUGAACAGCCUGAAAACAGACGACUCUGCAGUUUAUUACUGUGCCAGAGACACAGUGACACAAGAGACACAGACGCUGUACAAAAACUCCCACAUCAGAGCCAGUAGAAAGGCUGCUGUUUAUAAUUCACACCCACAGAAACAAACUGCUUCAACACAAACUCCAACAACCUGA
Betta splendens (Siamese fighting fish) is the source of this 569-nucleotide non-coding RNA. The record is from the annotation of a RefSeq genome assembly. NCBI's taxonomy places the organism in Eukaryota, Metazoa, Chordata, Actinopteri, Anabantiformes, Osphronemidae.